RNAcentral lists this ribosomal RNA (477 nucleotides) under Pseudomonas sp. RNAcentral describes it as "bacterial SSU rRNA". It matches the Rfam family "Bacterial small subunit ribosomal RNA", at positions 30 to 500 of the family's 1533-position model. Lineage: Bacteria; Pseudomonadati; Pseudomonadota; Gammaproteobacteria; Pseudomonadales; Pseudomonadaceae. The record is from RNAcentral.
AUUGAACGCUGGCGGCAGGCCUAACACAUGCAAGUCGAGCGGUUGAAGGAAGCUUGCUUCCUGAUUCAGCGGCGGACGGGUGAGUAAUGCCUAGGAAUCUGCCUGGUAGUGGGGGACAACGUUUCGAAAGGAACGCUAAUACCGCAUACGUCCUACGGGAGAAAGCAGGGGACCUUCGGGCCUUGCGCUAUCAGAUGAGCCUAGGUCGGAUUAGCUAGUUGGUGAGGUAAUGGCUCACCAAGGCGACGAUCCGUAACUGGUCUGAGAGGAUGAUCAGUCACACUGGAACUGAGACACGGUCCAGACUCCUACGGGAGGCAGCAGUGGGGAAUAUUGGMCAAUGGGCGAAAGCCUGAUCCAGCCAUGCCGCGUGUGUGAAGAAGGUCUUCGGAUUGUAAAGCACUUUAAGUUGGGAGGAAGGGCAGUAAGCGAAUACCUUGCUGUUUUGACGUUACCGACAGAAUAAGCACCGGCUAA